AACGAACGCUGGCGGCAGGCCUAACACAUGCAAGUCGAGCGAGGACUUCGGUUCUAGCGGCGGACGGGUGAGUAACGCGUGGGAAUGUGCCCUUCUCUACGGAAUAGCCCUGGGAAACUGGGAUUAAUACCGUAUACGCCCUAUUGGGGAAAGAUUUAUGGGAGAAGGAUCAGCCCGCGUUGGAUUAGGUAGUUGGUGGGGUAAUGGCCUACCAAGCCGACGAUCCAUAGCUGGUCUGAGAGGAUGAUCGGCCACACUGGGACUGAGACACGGCCCAGACUCCGACGGGAGGCAGCAGUGGGGAAUAUUAGACAAUGGGCGAAAGCCUGAUGCAGCGAAGCCGCGUGAGCGAAGAAGUCCUUCGGGAUGUAAAGCUCUAUCAGCAGGGAAGAUAAUGACGGUACCAGAAGAAGAAGCACCGGCUAAAGACGUG
This 433-nucleotide ribosomal RNA is filed under the name uncultured bacterium. RNAcentral's name for it is "partial 16S ribosomal RNA". It matches the Rfam family "Bacterial small subunit ribosomal RNA", at positions 29 to 507 of the family's 1533-position model. The record is from RNAcentral.